GUCAUUAUAAUUUAACAAAAAUAUUAGAAUGUGAGUCUAAAAACAGAAGUUUAACCCUUCUUAAUGACC
RNAcentral lists this transfer RNA (69 nucleotides) under Pseudemoia entrecasteauxii. Its description in RNAcentral is "tRNA-His". It matches the Rfam family "tRNA". From Rfam's summary of the family: Transfer RNA (tRNA) molecules are approximately 80 nucleotides in length. Lineage: Eukaryota; Metazoa; Chordata; Lepidosauria; Squamata; Scincidae. The record is from RNAcentral. RNAcentral also lists the same sequence under 1 other name.